RNA transcript from Spinacia oleracea (spinach), 8261 nucleotides. It is a transcript of the gene named red chlorophyll catabolite reductase, chloroplastic, with no coding region annotated. NCBI's taxonomy places the organism in Eukaryota, Viridiplantae, Streptophyta, Magnoliopsida, Caryophyllales, Amaranthaceae. The record is from RefSeq and is a predicted model, not a curated record. The transcript is spliced from 5 exons.
UUUCCACUAGCUAGUCAAGAACCUCUGAUUUCGCAAAAUUGUGUGGAGUAUGUUAAAUCUCCUUUUGGCUUUUGUGUAAAACUGUGAGAAGAUUUAGCAAAAGAACAUAACAUUAAACAUUAACAUUUUUUUACUGGGUAAGAAACACGAAUACUACAUAACUAACACCUAUCACAGGUUAACCAGUUAAGCUGCACAUGUCUUCGCUUGAGCCACGUGGGCUACUCUCAAGUAUUUUCCCAAUUGAUAGGGCUCGACAUAUCUUGGAUCUUUUACCAAACUAGCUCCUUUUAAAAUUUUAUUUACCAAAAUGGCUAGUUGUAAAUUGUAUUUCCCAAAGUAGCUACUGUUUAGUUUCAAAAAAAAGUAGCUACUUUUUUACUUUCAAUUAAAAACCAAUGAACCGGUUUAAAUUUUUUACAUAGUGAACCGAUUUGAAUUUUUUUAAUAGUGGACCGAUUGACAAUUUACUUAUAUUUUUAGCCUCUUAGCAACCUCAAAGUUUUUAAAGGACUUGCUCGUAAAUAUUACAAAUAUAAAGAAAUUAGUUGAACCGUUGUUGCGGAUAUUGUUAAUCCGAUCUCUUAGAUACGCGAAUUCGUUGUGUUAAACGAAUUUGCUUGGCAAACUCAAUCAACCAAGAAUUUAACAUACUCUAAAAUCGUGUGCGUGGAAGUGACGUGAAGGAGAAGAGUAACGCGUGCAAUAAAGGCGUCUAACAGUGCAAAUUUUUGCGUCUAUUAUCCCUACAAGUCGGACCACUAUCUUACUAUAGCCAAUUGCAAUUUUUUAUUUUUUAAAUUACUGUAAUUCUCAUUAUUAAGUUGAAACUAUGAAUUUAAUAAAAAUUAAUUAAAAUAAUUAACGGAUUUUUCAUGAAAUGCCCCCGAGGUUUGCUUUAAUGCACCAAAUACCCCUAAACUUUCCAGAAUGCACCAAAUACCCCCGGAGUUUUAAUAAAUAACACAAAAUGCCCUUAAUGAGCAUUUUCCGUCAAUUCCAUUAAGUCUCCGUUAACAUUAAUUUUUUUUUCUUUUCUUUUCCUUUUCUUUUUUCUUUCUCUUCUCAGGAGUCUGCAAAUCAAUCCUCCAAAUUCCAUCAUCUCUGCUCCUUUCUAUCUCCCUCUGCCAAUCCUCCAAAUCCCAUCAUCUUUGCUCCUUUCUCUCUCCCGCUGCUGCUUCUUCCAAAUCAAUAUCCAUCGCCACCCACAACCACCGAGGAACCCUUCCUCUUCUCUUCUCCUCUUCUUUCUUAAACCCAGAAAAUCAACUUUUACAUCCCAGAAAAAUCAGCAAAAAUCAACGAUUAUAUCACCAAAACAUUCGUAACAAGAUCCAAAACAAACAAAGAAUUCAAAACCAACAAGAUCCCAGAAAAUUUCCAACAAAAAAUACUCCAAAUUAAUCGAUGGAAAUACUCCAAAACGCAGAUUUAUUCCAAAAAAAACAAAAAAUGUGUUCUCCCCCAAAUUGAUUUUCCCCAAAUCAAUUUUUAAACCUAAAUCGCAAAAUCGUUUUCCAUUGAUUUCCCCCUUGGUUAAAAUGGCUGGAGGAUCUACGAAUCCUCUAUACCUCCAUCAGAUGGAUCUCAUAUCAUCUCCAUCUCUAAACUCACAGGAGCUUCAGAUUAUCGAACAUGGCGUUGGUCGAUGGAAAUGACGCUUCCAUGGUGGUUUGAGAUGAGAAAGAUGAUGAUGAUGAUGAUGAUGAUGAUGAUGAUGAUGAUAUGAGAAAGAUGAUGGUGGUUUGUGAUGAGAAAGAUGAUGAUGAUGGCGCCGGUCGAUGGAAAUAACGCUUUGAUGGUGGUUUGAGAUGAGAUGAUGAUGAUGAGGAGAAAGAUGAUGAUGGUGGCGUGGUGAUAAACAAGCAAUUAACUUCACAUUUUUGGGUCAAUUUUUUUUAAUAGUUAAUUAGAUUUUUAGGGUCUUAAUUUUUUAGAUAAUAGUUAAUUAAUUUUUUAGGGAUUUAAUUAAGUGGUAAUAUUAUGAUUAGUAGGGAAAGUUGUUGAGUAAGGGUAAAAAAGUAAAUUCAUGCUAAUGGAGACUUAACGGAUUGGACGGAAAAUGCUCAUUAAGGGUAUUUUGUGUUAUUUAUUAAAACCUCGAGGGUAUUUGGUGCAUUCUGGAAAGUUUAGGGGUAUUUGGUGCAUUAAUGAAAACCCCAGGGGCAUUUCAUGAAAAAUCCGAAUAAUUAAUUAAUAAUUUACUUAUCAUUGGAGCAAGAAAUAUGUAGCAAUUGUGUAACUUGAGAAGAUAUUGUGUCAUAACAAGCAUGCAUAAUAAAAAAAAAAUACGACCAUUGGAGUUUAUGUUGUCAAAAAGUAAACGUAAUUAAAAAAUUAAAAUGGGUAAAAAAAAUGGACUUAAAAUAUUACUAUGCUGUAUCGUGUAUGUAUCAAAAUUAAACCAUCACGAGCAACAUUUUAUAUUAUUUAUGGGCAAAUUCAAAAGGAAAAUUAAUUCGGAGUAUAAAGUAGACAAAAAAAAAACUUAACCCCCAAAAAGUCGAUUAACUAUAUUAAAAAAUGCACCAAACGAAACUAGUUAAUUGUUUUUGCCACAAAAUGAAAAUAGUUAUUUUGGUAAAUAAAUUAUACGUAGUAGCUAGUUUUGAGAAAUAGAUUUUUAAAGUAGCUAUUUUGGUAAAUAAAAUUGUAAAAAUAGCUAGUUUGAUAAAAGAUCCACAUAUCUUUAAUUAUACUUCGUAAAGUCAAGUGACAAGGUGAGUUUCCCAUCAAUUUCACCCACUUAUGUUGGUCAAAGGGUCGAUACAUUUUUAACCCGUAUUUACCACUUCUAGGUUCCGACCAAAAAUGUUUAUAAUAUAGUACGUUUUAACACACCCUUCCAUUGGAUAUUGUACUUAAAAUUAAUUCGUCAAUAAAAAGGUCGUGCGGCUUCUACAAUAAAUCUCUACCCUUUAAAAUUUUGGAGAUCAGUUAUUGUUCCCUGUGAACAGUAACUUCCCAUAUACUAAUUAUUUAUUUUACUGUUUUUUAAUUAACUAGUUGUUGCACCGUGCGUUAUCGCGCACGGUCUCCCAAGUUAGUGUUAAAAGAAAACCGAAAUGCAAAGCGAAUCCCGAGCAGAAUUAGUAUAGGACAAUAGGUAGGCACAUGUAUGAUUGGAAACUAAAUGGACAAGAACAUUAAUAUAGAAGUAAAUAAGCAUUGAUAAUUAGUGAAUGUAGGUUACAAUCACAUCCCCAUAACAUAUUUUACAUGGGAUCCAAAAGGUGCAAUUGGGUAUUUCGUAGGAACAUAAAAGCAUAAGUGUUCUAUGUUCCUUGAAAAAACCCCGACCACACAAGAUAGGCAAAAUACUAAAGUGACCGACCAUAAGUCUUAACAUAUUUUACAUGGGUUCCAAAAGGUGCAAUUGGGUAUUUUGUAGGAACAUAAAAGCAUAAGUGUUUUAUGUUCCUUGAAAAAACCCGCACCACAAAAGAUAGGCUAAAUACUAAAGCCAUCGACUAUAAGCGAUUAUUGUUUGCAAGUGGUGCACAUGGUUGUGGAACUACUUAACUUUCACACAAACAUAAUAGUUCCCUAAAAGACCAUGUUUACAUACAAAAGGGAGGGCUGAAUGACCCGUUCAUGCAGUAGGCGUUGGCUCUAAAGCAUCUUCAGUAUGGUUGUGCUCCAAAUCAGUCUUAGCAUGGGUGUGUUCUAUAGUAUCCUCAGCAACAGCCUUAGCAACAUCUUCAACAACAUCUUCAGUAACAUCAGGCUCUUCCAAUGCCACUUGUUUAAGGCACCAUUGUAGAGCAUUGCUCUUGGAGAGGGCUGUUGUUGGGCCAACCUCAACCAAGACAUGUUUGGUACGCAGCAGCUCCUUUGCAGCCUCAAUAGCCGGGGCAUCAUUCUGAGCAUUAGAGGUUGCGUUAGUGUGUAUACAAAAGCUGCUGAAAUCCUAGCAUGUAAUUUGUGUGUUCUAUUGUGAGAGCAAUUAUAACAAAUUUGUUUUUAAUUUGUUUUUGCUCAUUUAAUAAAUCAGAUCACAUUUUUGAUUUCCUGUUCCAGCAUUUCAUUUCACUUCAAUGCAGGUAAAUGCUAGAGCCAGUUAUGGCUUCUGGCUAGAAGGAACCUUUCCUGAUUUACUUCAACACCUUCAUAAAUUGGACUCGGAGUUCAGGAAGAACGAUCCAUCGAACAGGAAGUAUAAACUACGGUUGAGGUACGAAGAAGAUCAUGGGAUGCCUUAGAGUGAGGAUGCAACCACCAAAUUCACGAUCGAUGUUUAGUAAAGAUAACUAUGUCUCACUAGUAAUAAUGGAUGCAUUAAUUAAACUCUAAGUUUAAUUACAAGAAUUGAGUUAGACUUUUAUAUUAAUAUUUAAUCAAUGAUAGAAGUAUUUCGUUAUUAAAGUUUAUUUAGUGAUUUAAAAAGGUUAUAUCGCCUUGUAUUUUCCACGAGGGAGAUACCGCAUGUGACGCUCCGACUAAGCUAGGGUUUUCCGCUGCUAACUAAAGAUAAUUAACCUAAUUAAUGGUGUUUAGAAGUCGGGGCGUUACAGUUUGGUAUUCAGAGCCAAGGUUCUGCGACCAUAAGUGCUAAACUUUACGGGUUUUGCACGAAAUAAAAUUUACUAGGUUUUAAGCAAGAAUUUUAAGGAAUGAGUAAAAAGAAUAAGUUAAAAUCAUGCUAAGUUAAAAUGAAAUGAGUGUGAGUGAUAGGACGGGGAACGCAACGGGAAUGUUUUCUUUAUUAUGAUUUGCAGAAUUUCUUAGUCUAAUUUCAAGAAGAAAAGAUUAUCUGAAGUGUUGUAUCCUUGCGAUCAGAUCGGCGAUGACUUCAAGCGGAAAUAUUCCUAUUGACGGCACUAGAAACGAUAACGAUGUUAACGAUGGAAAUGGUAAUCACAAAUCUGUAUUAGCGCUGGGAGGAAUGCAAGAAAGAAUUGAAGAAUUGCGCAAGGAUCCCAUUUUCGGGGACACUCCAGGAGAAACAAGCGAUAAUCGAAUGGAUUUAAUGAGAUUGAUAAUGUCGGAACUUCUGCAAGGAAAUCGUCAAAAGCCAAGGUCAGAGCAAGAAGAAUGCUCCAACAUGUUCAAGAAGUUCGCUUCUCAUAAACCCCCUACCUAUGAUGGCAAGCCAGACCCUACUGAAUUUGAGGAAUGGAUUAGCGAUAUGGAGAAGUUAUUUGAUGCAACUCAAUGCCCCGAGAAAUGGAAGGUCAACUAUGCUGUCUUUUACUUGAAAGGACAAGCCAACCUGUGGUGGAAAAGUGUUAAAGGAAUCCAAAAUGAGCCUGGUUUUGGUUGGGAAAAACUGACGGAAGCUAUGCGGGAACAAUUUUAUCCCUAUUCUCUGCAACUGCAAAUGGAAUCGGAAUUUAUCAAAUUGAGUCAAGGAAAGAGGAAUGUUCUGGAAUAUGCAGUGAAAUUCAAUGAGCUUGCUCGAUUUGCCCCUGACCUGGUGACUACUGAUAGGCAAAGGAUGAAUCGAUUUGAAGGAGGAUUAAGCAUUGAGAUCCGUGAUCGUCUUUCGAGUUCUAGAAUUUCCACUUUCCAAGAGUUGUACGAUCGAGCAAUUAACGUCGAAAGAAUUAUCAAGCUUCGAGAAGAAACAUAUGGAAAACGAAAAGGGAGCUUCGAAGAAAAUCAGCCGAACAAUAAGAAACAAAAUGUCAAUGUCAGCUAUCAAGGAGGGAAUAACGGAAACCAAAGCUUCAACAAGAAUCGUGGAUGCGCCAAGUGUGGAAGAUGGAACCAUACUGAGAAAGAAUGUCGAAUUGGUACGCGAGAUUGCUUCAAAUGUGGUAGCAAAGAUCACCAAAUCAGAGAUUGUCCUCAAAUACAUCGAGAGCAAGGUGAUAGGAGAAACGAUGAAAACAAAGGAAAUGGUGGCACUACAAAUUUCAACCGUAAUCCCCCACGUGGAGCAACUUCGAAUGGAAGAGUGUUUUUAAUGCAAGGAAAAGACGAUGACGCAAAUGACAAUGACGACUUCGCUACUAUGGAGUAAAGAAUGAAUGAUCUUUUGAAAACGCGUGAUCGAACAUCUAGAAGAAAUAGUCUAAACUAAAUGAUGGAAAUUUUGAAAGUAAUAUGCGUUAAUCAAGUAUCAAACUAAGAUGUAUUACCAUCAUUAGUUAUAUGAAUGUUAUGCUUAUGUAUGAAAUUUUCAAUUAAAGAAUUAUGUGUUUAAGAUAUGCUUUAUGAAUUAUGUUUAUGCUGACAUGAUUGUAUUGGUAAUAACUGAUCGUUACGUAUGAAAGUCGUCUUCGAUGGAGGUUCUCCUGAGCUCAGAGUAUGAGAUUGUUAUAAUAAAUGACUUUUACGAAUUAUUUGAGUAUUGCAAUUGUUAGAUAAAUAUUUAUUCUCAUUUUCAAAGUCAUAAAUUUUGCAUUAAAUAUUACUAUUUUUGGUAAGAAAAAUAUUUUCAAACAAGAUAUCACAAAGUAAAAUGGGAGCCUAGUCUAAGCUAACAAGUUUGCCCCUUUUAUGUUCUUUGCUCCUCGAUCCUAUUUUAUGAAGUAAAGUGGAGGUACGAAAGAUGCUGGCAGAAUGUAAUUGACCUUAAUGACGAUUAAGGGUCGAUAUAUAAUUUUGCCCCUUUUGUAUUCUUUACUCUUCGAUUCUAGGUCUUGAGUUGAAGCGGAGUCAUUAAAGAAGAUGGCGGAAUGUAGGCUAGACAAUGUCGGAAUUGGAAUGAAAUUGUGAGAUCUUGGUUUUAAAUAAAAUAUCGUACUUUUAUUCAAAUAUUUUCAACUUUCAACGAUCAAUUCAAGUUUCGAGGACGAAACUUUUUCUAAGGGGGUAGGAAUGUAAUACCCCGAAACUUUUAAACUCGUUUAUUAAAAAUUAAUAAUAUUUUAUUAACGUAAUUUCGUUUCAAUUAUUAGAAAUAAUUUAAAAAUUUCGUUAUUUUAAACGUUUUUACGGUUUAUUUUAAAUGAUAAAUUUAUAAACGAAAAUUUAUUUAUUUUUCGUUAACGAUAUAUUUUACGAGACUUUGUUUUAAUUAAACAUUUAUAUAUUUAGUAAUUUCCUAAAAUAGCAAUUAAAAUUCAGAAAUUUGGCCUAACUACUUGAAAUUACUAAAAUGCCCCUAAAGGACAAAAUUUUCAAUUUGCUUCUUCCUCCCUUGCCUUCCACGUACAUGGAAGAAGGAAGACAUUCUUUCCUUCCUCUCUUCCCUUAUUCCAGUCUACAUUCAUUUCCUUGGAGCCCAAGAACUUUUAUUCUUCUAGAAAUCCACCUAAUUACAAAUUGAAUCAAUUUCAGAAUUAUUUCAAUGCAAAAAUCAAAUUAACAAAAUCUGAAAAUUCCUCCCUUGUUCCUCCUUAUUCGAACCACCACAACCGGCAGCCAUCUGCCACCACCUUAACCACCACUGCAGACCACCAACUACCCAGACCCGACCACCCACUUCGCCGGCCGACCACCUACUCCCACCAUACCUCCCUUCGCUCUCCCUCCUCCUUUGAAAUACUCCCUGCCUUCCUUCCCUCUCCUCUUCGUGGCACCACCAAAGCAACACCACCACUUCGUCCGUCACCAAUCACCAACCCACGAACCACCAGCCACCGCGUCGACCGCCCAGAACCGCCCCAAGUCACCACCACCACUUCCCCUGUUUCCUCCCUGUUUCGCACACCUCUGUCUCCCUCUUUCUUCGUCGCUGCUGCACCCCCCCAGGCCACCGUACCACCUUUUAUAACCACCUCAAUCCCCGGCGAUAGGCCGCUGCGCCGCCCCGGGUUCGACCCAGAAACACCCCUCCCGUGCUUUUUCUCUGUUUCGUUCGAACACCCCUUUCCUUUUCCUUGCAGCUCCGCCGCCGCGAAGCCACCACCCCCGCUGUCGCCUCUCAGCCGUGGUUCCGCAGUGCGCCGCCCAGCCGCCACCCCUGUCUCCCUUCUUCCUCCACUGCUCCUCCUUCGAGCCCUCCCCUCCCCUGCUCCCGUGUUUCCUUUUCCAGAAAAAGAAGACAAGUUCCAUUUAGGAACUUUGUUUUAUUUAUUUCUCAAGCCAAGCCCAAAUCACUUAGCCCAAUUUUCCCAAUAAAUUGGACUCGGAGUUCAGGAAGAACGAUCCAUCGAACAGGAAGUAUAAACUACGGUUGAGGUACGAAGAAGAUCAUGGGAUGCCUUAGAGUGAGGAUGCAACCACCAAAUUCACGAUCGAUGUUUAGUAAAGAUAACUAUGUCUCACUAGUAAUAAUGGAUGCAUUAAUUAAACUCUAAGUUUAAUUACAAGAAUUGAGUUAUACUUUUAUAUUAAUAUUUAAUCAAUGAUAGAAGUAUUUCGUUAUUAAA